UGAGAUGAAAAUGCAUCGUUUAGUCAACCUUCAGAUUUUAUUGAAUGCUUCAAUAGUUUUAACACAAGACAUACAAAACAAUAUAAAUUAAAUCCAUGUUCAUGUUGGAACUAAUCCCAUCUUUACUUGCAUAACAUCUGUGCUUCAAACCGUUACGUAAAAGGAAUAUUCAAGUCUUCAAACAUUACCAUGUUUUAGGGAGAGGCGGGGAAAAAUCAAAAUGUCUGGGCCAUAAAUCAAAGUCAACAACUUUAGCCCCGGUUACUAUUCCCUCGCUUUGGUUUUGUUCAACAAAACAGUAGCUGCGUUUAGCAUCUAACUAAGGAAACAGAGCUGCAGAAGUGUGCAGUUCCUUGUUUUAUAGUCGGACAACCUCAAACCAAGUGAGGCCACUUGAGACUGAAAGAGAGCCCUCCGCCACGAUAGCAGUGACAUAUUUUGGUGUGUAAAUACUUGGUUUUAGAUGGUCAAGUGAUGUCCCUGUGCUGGACUUGGAAUCAAAUCAGAGAGUACGGCCAAGAUACCUUGCAAAGUUCCUCCUGAGAAAUACAUGUUUGUAGGUUAACAUUGCCAUUUUCUUCCUCAUAACUCAUAGCAGGACACCCCCUGCUCAAUUCAACACAUGGCGGCCAGCUUUUGUGGUCAUAGAUACUCUUUGCUUUGGUGGGCAAUGAGGGCAGACGUCCACCAUUAUUUAAGUUACUCUUAGGAAGUGGAAAGAAAGGGAAUCCUAGAAUGGCUACACAGAUACUCCGAAAUUCACAGAAACUGGUGACUGCAUAAUGGGAGUAUGCAAAUAUUAAUUUAAUUAAGUAUCUGUCAAGUGCUGGGACAAUAGUGGAACCUACGACAGUUCUGACCCAGCUAAAUAAUGGAUGGAGAGAGCAGGAAAACUUUUAACUACUCAACCAGGGCCUUAGAUUAAUACAAAGAUACUGCCCACUGUAAUCAUUUAAAUCAGGGGUACUCCCGAUUUACAAAAUGACACGUGCCAGAUUUUGAAAUUGUCAGUCUUAUCUUACUACUUUUCUACUCUUAAGUAUGAACAAAAGGCAAAUAAAGAAAAUCCUGCUUGGAAAAUUAAAAAAGAAAAAAACCAACAGUAACGUCGUCAAUAUUGCUCCUCUUAAAUUAAAAGUUAACCACCACAUCCGACGGUUUAAGCAGGAGAAAUCCACAGUGUAAACGUCUCACAGUUUAGAACAAUGUGAGGAAAUAAGUUUCAAAAAACACAGUCUCAAAAUGAACCAAGGUGGGAUUAAUUUUUAGAUGAGGUGAUCCAGACUAUCAUAUGCUACAAAUUCAUAGAACGGCUAUUUUUUUUAAUAAGUGCAAAUACAAUUAUAAUGAAAAUGAAAAGUUAUUUCAAAGUUGCCCAUUGGUCAGGUUAG
Molecule: long non-coding RNA, 1391 nt
Organism: Thamnophis elegans (Western terrestrial garter snake)
Lineage: Eukaryota; Metazoa; Chordata; Lepidosauria; Squamata; Natricidae
Exons: 2
Source: RefSeq, a predicted model, not a curated record